GUCCUUUUGAUUAUAAUAUAAGGUCUAACCUGCCCACUGAAAAUUUAAAGGGCCGCAGUAUUUUAACUGUGCAAAGGUAGCAUAAUAAUUAGUUUCUUAAUUAGAAGCUGGUAUGAAUGGUUGAACGAGAAAUUAGCUGUCUCAAUUUAUAAGUUAAAAUUUUAUUUUUAAGUUAAAAAGCUUAAAUAAAUUUAAAAGACGAGAAGACCCUAUAGAGUUUUAUAAUUAUUAAAAUUUUAAUUUUAGGAUUUUUGAUAUUUUAAUAAUUAUUUUAUUGGGGUGAUAUAUAAAUUUAAUUAACUUUAUAUUUUUAAUAACAUAAAUUAAUGAUUUUUUGAUCCAUUAUUAAUGAUUAAAAGAAAAAAUUACCUUAGGGAUAACAGCGUAAUUUUUUUUUAGAGUUCUAAUCGAAAGAAAAGAUUGCGACCUCGAUGUUGGAUUAAAGUUAAUUUUUGGUGUAGAAGCUAUAAAAUUAGGUCUGUUCGACCUUUAAAACUUUACAUGAUCUGAGUUUAGACCGGUGUGAGCCAGGUUGGUUUUUAUCUUUAAAUAUUUUAAAUAUUUUAGUACGAAAGGACCAAGUAUUUUUAAAAUUUAAUUUUAAUUGAAUAUUA
This 614-nucleotide ribosomal RNA is filed under the name Hydraena sinope. Its description in RNAcentral is "partial 16S ribosomal RNA". It matches the Rfam family "Bacterial large subunit ribosomal RNA", at positions 1819 to 2756 of the family's 2925-position model. Lineage: Eukaryota; Metazoa; Arthropoda; Insecta; Coleoptera; Hydraenidae. The record is from RNAcentral.